GACGAACGCUGGCGGCGUGCUUAACACAUGCAAGUCGAACGGAAAGGCCCUGCUUUUGUGGGGUGCUCGAGUGGCGAACGGGUGAGUAACACGUGAGUAACCUGCCCUUGACUUUGGGAUAACUUCAGGAAACUGGGGCUAAUACCGGAUAGGAGCUCCUGCUGCAUGGUGGGGGUUGGAAAGUUUCGGCGGUUGGGGAUGGACUCGCGGCUUAUCAGCUUGUUGGUGGGGUAGUGGCUUACCAAGGCUUUGACGGGUAGCCGGCCUGAGAGGGUGACCGGCCACAUUGGGACUGAGAUACGGCCCAGACUGCUACGGGAGGCAGCAGUGGGGAAUAUUGCACAAUGGGCGGAAGCCUGAUGCAGCAACGCCGCGUGCGGGAUGACGGCCUUCGGGUUGUAAACCGCUUUCGCCUGUGACGAAGCGUGAGUGACGGUAAUGAGUAAAGAAGCACCGGCUAACUACGUG
This 468-nucleotide ribosomal RNA is filed under the name uncultured bacterium. RNAcentral describes it as "partial 16S ribosomal RNA". It matches the Rfam family "Bacterial small subunit ribosomal RNA", at positions 28 to 507 of the family's 1533-position model. The record is from RNAcentral.